GAUGAACGCUGGCGGCGUGCCUAAUACAUGCCAGUCGAGCGAACAGACGAGGAGCUUGCUCCUCUGACGUUAGCGGCGGACGGGUGAGUAACACGUGGAUAACCUACCUAUAAGACUGGGAUAACUUCGGGAAACCGGAGCUAAUACCGGAUAAUAUAUUGAACCGCAUGGUUCAAUAGUGAAAGACGGUUUUGCUGUCACUUAUAGAUGGAUCCGCGCCGCAUUAGCUAGUUGGUAAGGUAACGGCUUACCAAGGCAACGAUGCGUAGCCGACCUGAGAGGGUGAUCGGCCACACUGGAACUGAGACACGGUCCAGACUCCUACGGUAGGCAGCAGUAGGGAAUCUUCCGCAAUGGGCGAAAGCCUGACGGAGCAACGCCGCGUGAGUGAUGAAGGUCUUCGGAUCGUAAAACUCUGUUAUUAGGGAAGAACAAAUGUGUAAGUAACUAUGCACGUCUUGACGGUACCUAAUCAGAAAGCCACGGCUAACUACGUG
Molecule: ribosomal RNA, 497 nt
Filed under: uncultured bacterium
Lineage: Bacteria
Description: partial 16S ribosomal RNA
Rfam family: Bacterial small subunit ribosomal RNA
Source: RNAcentral